CGGACGGGUGAGUAAUGUCUGGGAAACUGCCUGGUGGAGGGGGGUAACUACUGGAAACGGUAGCUAAUACCGCAUAACGUCGCAAGACCAAAGAGGGGGACCUUCGGGCCUCUUGCCAUCGGAUGUGCCCAGAUGGGAUUAGCUAGUAGGUGGGGUAACGGCUCACCUAGGCGACGAUCCCUAGCUGGUCUGAGAGGAUGACCAGCCACACUGGAACUGAGACACGGUCCAG
This 232-nucleotide ribosomal RNA is filed under the name uncultured bacterium. RNAcentral describes it as "partial 16S ribosomal RNA". It matches the Rfam family "Bacterial small subunit ribosomal RNA", at positions 99 to 334 of the family's 1533-position model. The record is from RNAcentral.